GCAGGUGAGGCCGCUGCCGGGGUCCCCCGGGACCGAAGGGGACUCUUUGGGGGUCCUCGGGGACAAUCACAGGAAGCGAUCCUCCGGAAGAAGCUGGACAGGAGGACUUCUUGAACAAACCUGGGGGUUCUUUCUGGAGGGACACCCCCGCCCCAGGUGUCCAGCGGAGCUUGCGGCGCUCCGGCCCCUGGGGAUCGAUCGGCUGGCUGGCGACGCGCCGCCGCGGCUCCGGAGCCACCGCCCCCUCCCCCACCCUGGCUACGCAGGACGCGGCCUCGGAGCAGCGUCCUGGCGGUUGCGGGCCGCGGCCGGACCCGGCUCCAGGCCAGCCGCGAAGGCGGAGACCGACCGGCUCCUUCCGAUCGCUCCGGCCUCGCCACUCCUGGGUUGGCUGGGACGAUGAGGGGGAGGAGAGCGAGCCCAGCUUCCCCGGCCGCGGCGCUCGCCACCCCACCCCCGCUCCUCCUCCGUCGCCAACUACCCACUCCUGCGCGCGCUUAACCCUCAGCGCGCCGCGAGGCCGGGA
Long non-coding RNA from Bos taurus (domestic cattle), 526 nucleotides. The record is from Ensembl. Lineage: Eukaryota; Metazoa; Chordata; Mammalia; Artiodactyla; Bovidae.